GAUGAACGCUGGCGGCGUGCUUAACACAUGCAAGUCGAACGGUGAAGCAGGAGCUUGCUCUUGUGGAUCAGUGGCGAACGGGUGAGUAACACGUGAGCAACCUGCCCCUGACUCUGGGAUAAGCGCUGGAAACGGCGUCUAAUACUGGAUAUGUGAUGUGACCGCAUGGUCUGCAUCUGGAAAGAAUUUCGGUUGGGGAUGGGCUCGCGGCCUAUCAGCUUGUUGGUGAGGUAAUGGCUCACCAAGGCGUCGACGGGUAGCCGGCCUGAGAGGGUGACCGGCCACACUGGGACUGAGACACGGCCCAGACUCCUACGGGAGGCAGCAGUGGGGAAUAUUGCACAAUGGGCGCAAGCCUGAUGCAGCGACGCCGCGUGAGGGAUGACGGCCUUCGGGUUGUAAACCUCUUUCAGCAUCGACGAAGCGAAAGUGACGGUAGGUGCAGAAGAAGGACCGGCCAACUACGUGCCAGCAGCCGCCGUAA
This 484-nucleotide ribosomal RNA is filed under the name uncultured bacterium. RNAcentral's name for it is "partial 16S ribosomal RNA". It matches the Rfam family "Bacterial small subunit ribosomal RNA", at positions 28 to 523 of the family's 1533-position model. The record is from RNAcentral.